GACGAACGCUGGCGGCGUGCUUAACACAUGCAAGUCGAACGAAGUGGCGAACGGGUGAGUAACGCGUAAUCAACCUGCCCUAAAGAGGGGGACAACAGUUGGAAACGACUGCUAAUACCGCAUACUGAAGGAGGGGAUUGCGUCUGAUUAGCUAGUUGGAGGGGUAACGGCCCAACAAGGGGAUGAUCAGUAGCCGGUCUGAGAGGAUGGGAGGCCACAUUGGGACUGAGAAACGGCCCAGACUCCGACGGGAAGCAGCAGUGGUGAAUCUUCCGCAAUGGACGAAAGUCUGACGGAGCAACGCCGCGGUAAUAC
This 315-nucleotide ribosomal RNA is filed under the name uncultured bacterium. RNAcentral's name for it is "partial 16S ribosomal RNA". It matches the Rfam family "Bacterial small subunit ribosomal RNA", at positions 28 to 409 of the family's 1533-position model. The record is from RNAcentral.